This 460-nucleotide ribosomal RNA is filed under the name uncultured bacterium. Its description in RNAcentral is "partial 16S ribosomal RNA". It matches the Rfam family "Bacterial small subunit ribosomal RNA", at positions 338 to 795 of the family's 1533-position model. The record is from RNAcentral.
CCUACGGGAGGCAGCAGUGAGGAAUAUUGGUCAAUGAGCGAGAGCCUGAACCAGCCAAGUCGCGUGAAGGAUGACGGCCCUACGGGCUGUAAACUUCGUUUGUCAGGGAGCAAUUGGGUCCACGCGUGGGCUUAGCGAGAGUACGUGAAGAAAAAGCAUCGGCUAACUCCGUGCCAGCAGCCGCGGUAGUACGGAGGAUGCGAGCGUUAUCCGGAUUUAUUGGGUUUGAGGGGUGCGUAGGCUGAAUGUCUAUGCAGCGGGAAAAAUUCGGGGCUCAACCCCGUCGUGCCGUGGAAACUUAUGAUCUUGAGUGGGCGAGAAGUAUGCGGAAUGCGUGGUGUAGCGGUGAAAUGCGUAGAUAUCACGCAGAACACCGAUUGCGAAGGCAGCAUACCGGCGCCCAACUGACGCUGAAGCACGAAAGCGUGGGUAUCGAACAGGAUUAGAUACCCGUGUAGUC